This 384-nucleotide ribosomal RNA is filed under the name uncultured bacterium. RNAcentral describes it as "bacterial SSU rRNA". It matches the Rfam family "Bacterial small subunit ribosomal RNA", at positions 917 to 1322 of the family's 1533-position model. The record is from RNAcentral.
GGGCCCGCACAAGCGGUGGAGUAUGUGGUUUAAUUCGAUGCAACGCGAAGAACCUUACCAGGGUUUGACAUCCUGCGAAUCUCUUGGAAACGAGAGAGUGCCUUCGGGAACGCAGUGACAGGUGGUGCAUGGCUGUCGUCAGCUCGUGUCGUGAGAUGUUGGGUUAAGUCCCGCAACGAGCGCAACCCUUAUCCUUAGUUGCCAUCACGUUUGGGUGGGCACUCUAGGGAAACUGCCGGUGCUAAGCCGGAGGAAGGCGGGGAUGACGUCAAGUCCUCAUGGCCCUUACGGGUAGGGCUACACACGUGCUACAAUGGCAGUGACAAUGGGAUAAUCCCCAAAAGCUGUCUCAGUUCGGAUUGUCGGCUGCAACUCGCCGGCAUG